GAUGAACGCUGGCGUCGUGCCUAAUACAUGCAAGUCGAGCGAACAGACGAGGAGCUUGCUCCUCUGACGUUAGCGGCGGACGGGUGAGUAACACGUGGAUAACCUACCUAUAAGACUGGGAUAACUUCGGGAAACCGGAGCUAAUACCGGAUAAUAUAUUGAACCGCAUGGUUCAAUAGUGAAAGACGGUUUUGCUGUCACUUAUAGAUGGACCCGCGCCGCAUUAGCUAGUUGGUAAGGUAACGGCUUACCAAGGCAACGAUGCGUAGCCGACCUGAGAGGGGAAUCGGCCAACUUGAAAUGAGAAACGGUCCCAACCCCUAAGGGGGGCAAGAGGGGGGAAUUUUUGCCAAAGGGGGAAAACCCGAAGGAGCCAAGGCGGGGGGGUGAAGAAGGUUUUCGGAUUGGAAAACCCUUUUAGUUGGGAAGAAAGAAAGUAAGAUAAAACCUUGCUGUUUUGACGUGACCAAAAGAAGAAGCCCCGGCUAAAUUCGGG
This 496-nucleotide ribosomal RNA is filed under the name uncultured bacterium. RNAcentral's name for it is "partial 16S ribosomal RNA". It matches the Rfam family "Bacterial small subunit ribosomal RNA", at positions 28 to 507 of the family's 1533-position model. The record is from RNAcentral.